AGAGUUUGAUCAUGGCUCAGGAUGAACGCUAGCUACAGGCUUAACACAUGCAAGUCGAGGGGCAGCAUGUUGGUUGCUUGCAACCAAUGAUGGCGACCGGCGCACGGGUGAGUAACGCGUAUCCAACCUACCCUUGUCCAUCGGAUAACCCGUCGAAAGGCGGCCUAACACGAUAUGCGGUUCACAGCAGGCAUCUAAGGUGAACGAAAUGUGAAGGAGAAGGAUGGGGAUGCGUCUGAUUAGCUUGUUGGCGGGGUAACGCCACAAGGCGACGAUCAGUAGGGUUCUGAGAGGAAGUCCCCCANAUUGGAACUGAGACACGGUCCAAACUCCGUACGGGAGGCA
This 345-nucleotide ribosomal RNA is filed under the name uncultured bacterium. Its description in RNAcentral is "bacterial SSU rRNA". It matches the Rfam family "Bacterial small subunit ribosomal RNA", at positions 8 to 350 of the family's 1533-position model. The record is from RNAcentral.